Molecule: long non-coding RNA, 214 nt
Filed under: Elaeis guineensis (African oil palm)
Lineage: Eukaryota; Viridiplantae; Streptophyta; Magnoliopsida; Arecales; Arecaceae
Description: long non-coding RNA (EGUI_LNC080849)
Source: RNAcentral
UGAUGAAGUCAUAUUUUUUGUAAAAUUAGGAUCAGCAUAUGUGAUAUGAAAAAGUAUAUUUUAUUAUGAGCAUUGAUUGCAUGAAUGUAUUUUAUAAAAGUUGCAUGAUUAUGAAGCAUGAGAUUUUAUUCUAUGUAUAUGUAUGGUUUAAGAAAAAGAUAUAAAGAUUUCAAAUGCUCUCAGAUAGCUAUGAAUGAAUUUCUUCGGGAAGGUC